UGUUGCGGUCUAUCAUGCAAGUCGAGCGGACAGAAGGGAGCUUGCUCCCGGAUGUUAGCGGCGGACGGGUGAGUAACACGUGGGUAACCUGCCUGUAAGACUGGGAUAACUCCGGGAAACCGGAGCUAAUACCGGAUAGUUCCUUGAACCGCAUGGUUCAAGGAUGAAAGACGGUUUCGGCUGUCACUUACAGAUGGACCCGCGGCGCAUUAGCUAGUUGGUGAGGUAACGGCUCACCAAGGCGACGAUGCGUAGCCGACCUGAGAGGGUGAUCGGCCACACUGGGACUGAGACACGGCCCAGACUCCUACGGGAGGCAGCAGUAGGGAAUCUUCCGCAAUGGACGAAAGUCUGACGGAGCAACGCCGCGUGAGUGAUGAAGGUUUUCGGAUCGUAAAGCUCUGUUGUUAGGGAAGAACAAGUGCAAGAGUAACUGCUUGCACCUUGACGGUACCUAACCAGAAAGCCACGGCUAACUACGUGCCAGCAGCCGCGGUAAUACGUAGGUGGCAAGCGUUGUCCGGAAUUAUUGGGCGUAAAGGGCUCGCAGGCGGUUUCUUAAGUCUGAUGUGAAAGCCCCCGGCUCAACCGGGGAGGGUCAUUGGAAACUGGGAAACUUGAGUGCAGAAGAGGAGAGUGGAAUUCCACGUGUAGCGGUGAAAUGCGUAGAGAUGUGGAGGAACACCAGUGGCGAAGGCGACUCUCUGGUCUGUAACUGACGCUGAGGAGCGAAAGCGUGGGGAGCGAACAGGAUUAGAUACCCUGGUAGUCCACGCCGUAAACGAUGAGUGCUAAGUGUUAGGGGGUUUCCGCCCCUUAGUGCUGCAGCUAACGCAUUAAGCACUCCGCCUGGGGAGUACGGUCGCAAGACUGAAACUCAAAGGAAUUGACGGGGGCCCGCACAAGCGGUGGAGCAUGUGGGUUUAAUUCGAAGCAACGCGAAGAACCUUACCAGGUCUUGACAUCCUCUGACACCCUAGAGAUAGGGCUUUCCCUUCGGGGACAGAGUGACAGGUGGUGCAUGAUUGUCGUCAGCUCGUGUCGUGAGAUGUUGGGUUAAGUU
RNAcentral lists this ribosomal RNA (1063 nucleotides) under Bacillus sp. (in: firmicutes). RNAcentral's name for it is "bacterial SSU rRNA". It matches the Rfam family "Bacterial small subunit ribosomal RNA", at positions 38 to 1086 of the family's 1533-position model. Lineage: Bacteria; Bacillati; Bacillota; Bacilli; Caryophanales; Bacillaceae. The record is from RNAcentral.